AACGAACGCUGGCGGCAUGCCUAACACAUGCAAGUCGAACGAGACCUUCGGGUCUAGUGGCGCACGGGUGCGUAACGCGUGGGAACCUGCCCUUAGGUUCGGAAUAACUCCCCGAAAGGGGUGCUAAUACCGGAUAAUGUCUUCGGACCAAAGAUUUAUCGCCUUUGGAUGGGCCCGCGUUGGAUUAGCUAGUUGGUAGGGUAAAAGCCUACCAAGGCGACGAUCCAUAGCUGGUCUGAGAGGAUGAUCAGCCACACUGGGACUGAGACACGGCCCAGACUCCUACGGGAAGCAGCAGUGGGGAAUAUUGGACAAUGGGCGAAAGCCUGAUCCAGCAAUGCCGCGUGAGUGAUGAAGGCCUUAGGGUUGUAAAGCUCUUUUACCCGGGACGAUAAUGACAGUACCGGGAGAAUAAGCGCCGGCUAACUCCGUG
RNAcentral lists this ribosomal RNA (433 nucleotides) under uncultured bacterium. Its description in RNAcentral is "partial 16S ribosomal RNA". It matches the Rfam family "Bacterial small subunit ribosomal RNA", at positions 29 to 507 of the family's 1533-position model. The record is from RNAcentral.